GACGAACGCUGGCGGCGUGCCUAAUACAUGCAAGUUGAGCGCUGAAGGUUGGUACUUGUACCAACUGGAUGAGCAGCGAACGGGUGAGUAACGCGUGGGGAAUCUGCCUUUGAGCGGGGGACAACAUUUGGAAACGAAUGCUAAUACCGCAUAAAAACUUUAAACACAAGUUUUAAGUUUGAAAGAUGCAAUUGCAUCACUCAAAGAUGAUCCCGCGUUGUAUUAGCUAGUUGGUGAGGUAAAGGCUCACCAAGGCGAUGAUACAUAGCCGACCUGAGAGGGGGAUCGGCCACAUUGGGACGGAGACACGGCCCAAACUCCUACGGGAGGCAGCAGUAGGGAAUCUUCGGCAAUGGACGAAAGUCUGACCGAGCAACGCCGCGUGAGUGAAGAAGGUUUUCGGAUCGUAAAACUCUGUUGGUAGAGAAGAACGUUGGUGAGAGUGGAAAGCUCAUCAAGUGACGGUAACUACACAGAAAGGGACGGCUAACUACGUG
RNAcentral lists this ribosomal RNA (497 nucleotides) under uncultured bacterium. RNAcentral describes it as "partial 16S ribosomal RNA". It matches the Rfam family "Bacterial small subunit ribosomal RNA", at positions 28 to 507 of the family's 1533-position model. The record is from RNAcentral.